This 2958-nucleotide long non-coding RNA is filed under the name Nicotiana tabacum (common tobacco). RNAcentral's name for it is "long non-coding RNA (NTAB_LNC008261)". Lineage: Eukaryota; Viridiplantae; Streptophyta; Magnoliopsida; Solanales; Solanaceae. The record is from RNAcentral.
GUAUUCCAAAAUUACAUCAUCAAAAUAUUAAUGCUUCAAAGUGUAUUUCAAUAGUAAUAUCCAAAACAUUCAUAGUUGAUCAUACAAAAUAAUCACUAAUUCACAUUUGGACGAUCAUCAUUGUUACUUUCAUAUAAAGAUCUUCUUGGCUCAACUGUUGAUGGUGCACCACUUUCUAAAUCUGAUGCCUGAAAAAAAAGAGGAAAAAUACAGUCAUGUAUCUUGGUAUAAUUAAGACCAUGUUUGUUGAUGGUUUUCUUGGCCUCAUAAAAAGAACCAAGAAUCUUGGCAUCUUCAAAGGCAUCUUUUAACAAUUCUAAUAUACUCAUCGCUUUGUCAGUCAUUCGACAAAGAUAUUUUAUAUGAUACAACUUGAUUAGAAAGGACAAUUUAAAAUACUUCGUACACCCUUCGUAUAAUGGUUGAUUGCCAUCUUCGACCAAUUCAUAGAACUUUGUAUAAUCUUCAUUAUGCCCCUCAAUGUGCCCUUCAUUAAAUAUUUCUUCUCUAUUUAUAUGAUUAGAAGACAAACCAGGCUCGUUGACAUUGUUCCCGGUGAACCCAAACGCAUCAUUAAUCAUAAUUUCUAUUGGAUAUUGGGGGCUGUAAAGUAUCUUCUAUGACAUGGGUGCUCUGAGAAGUCUGUUGCACGGUUGCAUUUGAUUCUUCACCAUGCCAAUCCCAAAAUUUAUAGUUUUUUGAAAAAAGGUUUAAGAAUUAGGUUCUCUUAAACUACAUCUCUUCUUUGUCACUUAUUAAAAUCACAUUUUGGAUACGAGCACUUAAUUACGCGUCCAUCAAAUGACUCGUGCUCAAAAGAAAAAUUCAAAAAUUGUCUUAGACCAUCUGCAUAUUCAAGUGUGUUUCGUGGUUUGCUAAUCCAAAAUUUAUCAAUUGGCAUGUCUCAAAAGGAAGACAUAAGAUAACAUGACAAUAUCAAAAUAGAAAAGUUAGUUCAAAAGCUUAUAUGUGAAAAACAUAACCUAUGAAAUAACAUCAUUUCAUAAGAUAACAAAAAAUAGUUUUGGUCUGUGAAUUAGAGUAAAAUAUCAUGCCCUAAGAGUAAAAAAUAAGCUCCAGCACCAAACUAUUUUCAUAUUUGGUCUGUGAAUAAAGAUACUGCUUCUAAGAGCAAGAUGCAACCAGUAUAAAGAUCAAGGGAUCAUGUACACUCAGGCUGCACUCUUUACUCCAGCUAGUAUGUUCAGCUUUGACCUUUUGUUUCAUAACAAUAUUGUAUGGUCUUUUCAAAUAAUUCUUAGUAUCAAUUUCCCAUAUGAGAGCACCACUGCUUAUUGGUACUAGCAGCAAGCAGUGAAUCAAGACAAAUAGUAUUUUACUUCUAAUUGAGAACUGAGAUACUGCAGUAAAUAGUGCAAAUCUAUUGAUAAAGUAGGCUCUAAUUAUUAGAUAGAACCUAUGAGAGAACCUUUAAGACUGAAACUUAACAUCUGGUCUUGAUUUGAUCAACUAGUUAAAGAAAUUACCUAAUGAGAAGCCUCUUAGUGAUAUAAAAGUGCAUAUAGAAAAUAUUUACUUCUUCCAUUAGAAUUAGGACAUAACUAUUAGAAGCUCUACAUGUAGCAGCCUGCAAUAAUUAGUGAAUAUUUUCACUUAAUCUGAACUAAGUUCUUCUCUCAAAAAUUUUGCUUAUAUAUGUCAAACUGUUAACUUACUACUUCAGGCCCUUUUCCAACUUACUAUAAAAAAUAUAAUGUCCAAUCAUACAUGACUUAAACUUCACUCCUACUCAAAAAUAUACUAAAAUAAAAGUCUACCAAAAACUUAUUUCAUGUCCUCAUCAUUCUGGUGCACUUUCAUUAAGCCUUCUUAAAGUAAAUAGCUUUUAUCGAUAUUAAAGGGAAAUUGGAAUAAGUUGUAUCUAUUUUACAAAUGUAAUAUUAUUGAUUAACAAACUCUAUGACUAAUCUACACUGAUAAGAGGUAACUCAACCCUAAGAAAUAAUCAAUUUACCUUUAAAAAAGAAAUCUGCUUAAAAGAAAGGACAAAAUUCAAGUGAAACGAGUUAUACCUAUCAAAUAUCUAAUUGUCGACGUCGAUUCCAAUAGCUUCACCAGCAGUUUUUGAUCCCUCGGCUACCUAUCAAUCCCAUAUAUAAUAUUUAGGUUAAUAUUAGUAAGAACAAUAACUUAAAAUAUCAAAAUUAAGUGCAUGCAAUCGAAAUACAAGACAAAGCAACGAAAAUUUAAAGAAAUACCAAACUAAUUGAACAUAAAAAUAACAAAAAAUGUACUCAAAAAUAAAAGAAAGAAGUACUAAAAACAUUAGAGUAGUAAUGUUUUCUAAUAACAGCAAUCGUAGUUCUGUUGUCUUUUUUUCUAAUAAUAGAUUACUAUUUUGGAUGUUAUAUAUUCAAUUGACUGAAUGAAUCAUAGAUUAUCGAACUAAGGGGAAAAAUUAGAACAGAAUUGGGAAAAAUCGCUACACUUCCAAACAUGCAUGAACCCUACAACAACAACAACAACAACAAUAACAAUAACAACGCAGUAUAAUCCCACUAGUGGGGUCUGGGUAGGAUAGUGUGUACGCAGACCUUACCCCUACCCUGGGGUAGAGAGACUGUUUCCGAUAGACCCCCGGCUCCCUCCCUCCAAGAACUCCCCACCUUGCUCUUGGGGUGACUCGAACUUACAACCUCUUGGUUGGAAGUGGAAAGAGUACUAAUAAAGAGAAAAGAACUUUUGGUACUAAAUAUACAUCAUUACCUGAAGAUUAUUGAAGUUGCUAAACGAAUUUCAUGUACUUUUUCUGAUUUGAAUCUCGAUUCUUCUAGCUGGAGAAAUAGAAGAAUCUGAAGUUAGAAAAUAGAACGAAUUGGGGGAAUUGAGGGAAGAAUCGGGGAAAGGAAUUGGGGGAAAGAGAAACGAGAGACCUAUUGAGGGAUGGAGUUGGGAAAAUUCCAGACUUAGUAAAUUCUGGAGAGAGUCUCAAUUUGU